This is a long non-coding RNA of Aedes albopictus (Asian tiger mosquito), 1315 nucleotides long. RefSeq lists it as uncharacterized. NCBI's taxonomy places the organism in Eukaryota, Metazoa, Arthropoda, Insecta, Diptera, Culicidae. The record is from RefSeq and is a predicted model, not a curated record. The transcript has 2 exons.
AGAAGUGGCUCUUAAUUAGUUACUCAAUUAAUAGUGACCUAGAACAAAAUUUUAAAUGCUCUCCCCACAUGGAAGAUGGUUUUUGAAAAUUUCGCGUUACGCUACAUUUGAAUGAACCCCUAAUUGUCUUCGUUUUCGCAAGUCUAUGAAAUCAACAGUAUCUAUAGUGCAUACAUGUCUUCAUGUGUAAAUGUAUAUGUGUUAUGUACACAUCAUAAAUGAAACACACGUAUUCACGCAAAAUAUAAAUAAACCUGACUUGUCGGCAAAGUUAGAUUUUUCAAACGUAAACAACGUCCGCAGUAGCGAAGACAAAUCCACGAUGCUUCCAUCGCAAAUUUUAUCCCGUUCGAGAUACGUAACACGUUUGGCAACAGCCAAUUUUUGCUCGGAUACUUUGACGGUUCAACAUGACCGUCGAAACUCCGAGUUUUCGGUGCAUUUACAUGACAGCAAGGCAUUCGUAAGUUAUACAUACGACCAGAAGAGCAACAAAAUAUCCAUCGAUCACACCGAAGUGCCUUCUGUCUUCCAAGGAAAAGGCGUCGGCAAGAAACUGGUAGAAGCUGCUCUUCAACACGCGAUCAAAGAGAACAUCAAAGUUACAUUUGUUUGUGAAUUUGCUCAGAAGUACUAUAAUGAUAACAAACAUCGCUUUAAUAACUUUGUUUAGAAAUAGGUAUUUUUAAUGUUAGUUCAAAUCAUUGUUUUAAAUAAAAACAUGAAUUGUUUUCCAGCUUUGUAGAUGAACAGCUAAACAUUUGACAAAUUGAAUAACAUAUAUUGGUCUUUUUUUUUUUUUUUUGUUUUUCAAAUCAUGUAAAAUAAAUAACUUUUUCAGAUCUGCGUUAUAGAAUAUUGAUCAUUGAUAACGUUACUACACAUAGGGAAGUAGGAUCUUCUCGUCAAAGCUCCCGUUCACUACAACUCAGUCGAUUUUCAAUCAAAUGACUUAUGUUUUUGCAUGCCAUCAUGAGAUACAUAUAGUAUCAAGCCGUGUCCAAAUUUAAAUCUAUUGGUUUUAAUUUGAUUAAGUUAUGGUGGAAAAGUGCCCAAAAUAACAGCCACUGCUCAAAUGGUUCGUCACUUUACUUAGUCCGUCUCUCUGUGCCUGCUAGACGAUUAGUUUAGACGAAGCUGAGGACGAUUAGAUGCUGAGGAGCUUGCUUCAUCCUAGUUGGGACGUUACGCCAAAGAGGAGAAAAAGAAGAUCAUUCUAGAAUUCGUUUACACUUUGAUCAUAGUAGUAAUUUGGACGUGUAUAUAAAUAAGACUGGAACAAUGCAUUUUAAUAAAACGAACUCAUCAAUUUCAA